UCGCUACUACCGAUUGAAUGUCUUAGUGAGGACCACGGAUCGCUGUCUUGGGUGGCAACACCCCUGACGGUGAGAAGUGGUCCAAACUUGAACAUUUAGAGGAAGUAA
This 108-nucleotide ribosomal RNA is filed under the name uncultured eukaryote. RNAcentral's name for it is "partial small subunit ribosomal RNA". It matches the Rfam family "Eukaryotic small subunit ribosomal RNA", at positions 1676 to 1785 of the family's 1831-position model. The record is from RNAcentral.